UUGAAGUAUGAAGAGCAUGAAGGGAAUGAGUGCUGAGAGAGUGAGAGCUACUUGUUAUGCUUUCUUAGUUUAUAUUUUGAAUUGAUGGUUUAUUGUUAUGAACUAACUUUCACUACUACAAAAUUGAGCUUAAGUAACACCCAUUGGUAACACUUUAAAAAUUUCAUGAUUGUUUGAUUUUUACGUAACACUUUUGUAACAUUGUGGUAUUAGGUAACACUUUAUUGUAACACUUUGAUAUUAGGUAACACUUGGUUGUAACACUUAAUUUUUUUUUUUUUUUUUUAAGAAAACACUUAAUUCGAUAUGCUCAAUUUUUUUUAAUCAAAAUCGACCCUCACAGUCACAACCUCACAAAUCUCUCCCCCCUCGUAUUUCUCCAACCCUCAAUAAAGCGUUGACCGUCUCUUUACGCUGCACCUCCUUACCUCUGCUUCCAUCGCUAUCACCUUCUCAGUAAUUAAACCAAUGAGUCUUUCCUUCGAUUUUCAUUCGCCAUUGACAAUGAAGCUCGAAAUCAAUGGAGGACAUUAUCUCUCCUUCCGAUAAGCAGGUCAUGGUCUCUAAAUUCCUUGAGAUCGUUGCUGGCCAGAGUGCCGAUACGGUCCGCCAAUUCUUGCAGGUUUUGAUUCCUAUUCUGAAACCAACUGGAUACACCAGUGCUGAUCCUUAUAAAAUGUGUAUAUUCAAUUUGAAUUGGCUAAUAUAUUAGAAGAUGGCUAUUGAGCAUUUUUCCCCCAGAAUGUCUACAAUUUACUUGAUGCUAUGUAAGAGGGUAGAGUGUUUAAAAAAAAAUGUAAGAGGGCAGAUAUAUAUAUGAAGCAUUAUUUUACUCUUACACUAUCAGUUUACUACUUUUUUCAAUUCUCAUUGUAUUUAUAGAUGCUCUUCCAUUUAUAAGCAAGGGAGUGAGAACCAUGAGAUAGAGCAUUGGAAGAUUAGAGACGAUGGAAACAAAAACUUCUGUUAUGUUACAGGACACAAGAAACAUGGUUGCAUAUAUGUAGCAACCAAUGUCACCAUUACUCUUUCUGCUGUUACAGAUAUCUGCUGUUGUUGCUGAUGCCUGUCGAUGUCACUAGCUCAGUGCUAUCUGCUGCUACUGCAGUCUGCUGUUUUCUCACUGCUAGUGUUGUCUGAUCUAAUGCUGACUCUUGCUACUUCGGUUUGCUGCCACUGCUCUCUGCUACUGCUGGUUGUUGCCAACUGUUGUAUGCUACUGCUGAAAGCUGCCACUCCUGUAUACUACUGCUGGUUGCUGCUAAAGACUGCUACUAGAAGCUUCUGUUACUACUUCUGCCAUUCUGCUAGUUGCGUAGCUACUGCCAUUCUGCUAGCUAGUUGUGUAGCUGCUACUAUACGCUGUUAUUAAUGCUCUUUGCUGUUAUCGCUAACUUUUUUUAAAAUUUGGAAGUUUUUUAUUUUUCCUUACUUUUUCCAAGCUAGAGAUCAAACUUAAUUUUCUUUGUGUUAGGAUUAUUAUAUUGUUUGGCCAAACAUUAUAAUUGGUGUUUAUGGAUUUUUUU
This is an RNA transcript of Chenopodium quinoa (quinoa), 1526 nucleotides long. RefSeq lists it as uncharacterized. The transcript has 3 exons. Lineage: Eukaryota; Viridiplantae; Streptophyta; Magnoliopsida; Caryophyllales; Amaranthaceae. The record is from RefSeq and is a predicted model, not a curated record.